This is a long non-coding RNA of Panicum virgatum (switchgrass), 2611 nucleotides long. RefSeq lists it as uncharacterized. The transcript has 3 exons. Lineage: Eukaryota; Viridiplantae; Streptophyta; Magnoliopsida; Poales; Poaceae. The record is from RefSeq and is a predicted model, not a curated record.
GCCUCUGGGAGCAGCGCGGGCACGGCGUUCCCGGACACGACGGAGAUGAGCGCCGGAGGAGGAGUGAGGCGCCGGUGCCCAGGCGUUGGAGUGCAGCUCCGUCUGUAGCCUCGCCCACCUCUCCUCCUGAUCCUCGACCUCUGCGUCCACUUCCGCCUCCACCACCUCGGACAUCUCGCCGCACUCCUCGCGACACCAACUGGGUGCCACGUCGUCGCAGGGCAGAGCCACAGCCGCCUCCACCAAGCUCCCGCCAUGGCGCCGAGGCUCGAGUGCGGGGGGUUCCACCUCCCGAAGGUCAGCUCGACGCCGGUGAAGAAGGGCAUCGGCGCCAAGAACCCGCGGAGUCGCACGGGGUGGACCGCGUGCGGGUGCCCGGCGCACCCGAGAAGCGGGACUUGAGGUGGUGCACGAGGACGCCGCCCGCCGACUUGCCCGCGAUGAAGACCAGCCCAGGUUGACGAGCUCGGACAGUGUGGGGCAGAGGAGGACCGCGGCUGCGUCGUUGAUGGCGGCUGGCAGGUGGUGCUCCGAGGCGAGCGGUAGUCGGCGGAGAGGACGAGCGUGCUCGCCCCCGCCGCGAGCCUGCUGCAGGCUACGUGGUUCCCGGCCACCCGGGAUGGAGAAGAAGAAGCCCGGUCGCGCGGGAUGGAGAAGAAGAAGCAAGGGCAUCGAUGGUCAUUUGCCCUCUCAUGCACUUCUACUGUUACAGGAAAUUCUUUGUUGCAAACAUUCUUGAUAAUAAAAAGGUCUCAGUUUAUUCAUGUGUAUUGAUUUGCUGCAUUUUUUCUUUGUGUACUAGAAGUCAACAGACUAGCUGCUAAUCUUCAAUCAUACUUGGAGCAAAGGGGAGCAAAGCUACCUGAAGGGCAUAUAAUUGGAAGAGUUGUACCUGAAGGCGGAAAUCCUUUGGUAGCUCACCGGUUCAAAUAUUGUAUUCUUUCCACGAUUAUCGAGCUGAGGGGGCUUCAUCUUCAGAAUGGAAAGAGAUUUCUGUGAAGCAAUACGCAUAGAUUGUUUUCCAGCCAUUGCACUCCAAAAAAGUUUGGAAAUUCAAGCUGUCGCAAGCAGAAAUCUUAAGCUGCCGCUUUUCUGGUAUACUUUAUACUUCCUUUUCACUGUAACUCACUGAAAUUAUGCUUUUCUGUUUCCACCUGUAAAUCUGUAAUUAUGUGUGAUAAUGUGGAGGAUAGUGACUUGGAGCGACGCCUCACUGAAUAAGCUUCGAAUUUUUGCCUGAUUCUAUUUAUUCUGGUCAUCUGGUGUUGUGGGGGACCUGAUUGAUCAAGAAUGAGCAGGUUGGUUGCUGGUGCCUGGUGGGGGAGGUUGUCGGCGAUAUUAAAUACUCUGGUUGCCCAUAUGAGCAUGUUUGUGAUCAUACAGAUAUUUCUGUUAAUUUAUGAGAAGCACUUAGGAGUGUUGAUUGAUUCAUCAUUUCCAAUCUUUAUUUGACCUACAAGUUAUUUGCUAUGAAUGAUCCUUUAUAGAGACUCUCUGAACUUUGAUAGACAGAGGAAGAGGAACAAGCAGAAUCAGAUGACUGAAGAAGCAUGUUGCGUGAACAGGAACUGAUCAAAAGUAUCGCCACAUUCUGAUAGCAAUAUUCACCUUUCAUCAAUCUACUAUAACUUGGAUUUUUCAUAUUUUUCUUCCUAUACGAUUAACCAUUUUUAUGUCACAUUUCAGAUGAACCUCUCUCAAUUACAGAUUUACAUUUAUUGGGAUGGGACUGGGUCACUGAGCACAGGAGAGUUAUCCUGGUUAUUUUCUAGCCAUUACUGGACUGCUUCUUCUAUGUCUGGGCUUCCGAACAUCGGAGUUUGGAGUAUACAAUUAUAACAUAGCCUACUAUGAUGCCAGGUAUGUAAAGGUGGCUAUUGGAGAAUUUCUAAGGGUUGUUCAACAGCAGCUUGCCCCUGAGUUCUGUGAAGUACGAACAACAUCAGUUGAGAACCUACUUUAUGUGAAGAAGAUCUUAUCUCUACAAAGCCACUCAGGAAAACAUGGGAGCAAAGCUAUACAUGGGGCCAACAUCAAUUUUGUUGGCUUUCUCAGUGACCUUUCGAGAGGAUUAAUUCCACUAGAUGAUUGGCAUCACAAAUCACUGGUUUAGGAGAAUCAUACUGUAAUUUGGAUGCCGGGACAAUAAGGUGCAGUGAUGAGUACACGAAUGUGAAUUAGCCUACUUUAGACGUCACCUUGGUAUGCCACUUUCUGUGCUUGCAGGUUCUGACCAUUCAGUUUAUCUAUCUUGUGCCGAUUGAUUGGAUACGUGGGAUGUAAUACCUGCUCAUCUCAUAUCAGCUCAUUGUCCCCAUGAAACUUUGGUGAAUUCUGUAAUUACUGUUAUGUGCUUGUAAUCAUUUCAUUUUGCCAUGAGUACAAAUGGAUGCUUUAUGUCCCUUUGGUACAUGCUUGCUUUAUGAUAUAACUGAUGCAGCUAACUUUUCUUUUUGCAGUUAUGUCAUGGCCAUUGGUGAAGCAGAGGCUUUUUUAGAAAUAAUGUAGCAUGAACUCUAGAUGGGGAAAAGUACUUAACUAUUUGUAUACAUUCAAAAAUUUAUACUGAUCAAUUUCAGUCUUUUAGGAAAAUAGAAAGCUCUUAGGAUAA